Molecule: non-coding RNA, 84 nt
Filed under: Pseudomonas sp. NFPP11
Lineage: Bacteria; Pseudomonadati; Pseudomonadota; Gammaproteobacteria; Pseudomonadales; Pseudomonadaceae
Also listed under: 1 other name
Source: RNAcentral
UGUUAUGGCGGCUGUGCGUAGGAGACCUUCGGGUCUGCCGGGUCCUGGGUCCGGUUCGCUAACCUGCGUACAGCUGCCACCCUU